GCCCCUGUGGCGCAGUGGGAUAGCGCGUAGCUCUUAUAAUGCUAAGGUCGUGAGUUCGAACCUCACUAGGGGCA
Molecule: transfer RNA, 74 nt
Filed under: Fusarium vanettenii 77-13-4
Lineage: Eukaryota; Fungi; Ascomycota; Sordariomycetes; Hypocreales; Nectriaceae
Description: tRNA-Ile (TAT) (tRNA-Ile-TAT-1-1)
Rfam family: tRNA
About the family: Transfer RNA (tRNA) molecules are approximately 80 nucleotides in length. Their secondary structure includes four short double-helical elements and three loops (D, anti-codon, and T loops).
Source: RNAcentral